GACGGAGGGUGCAAGCGUUGCUCGGAAUCAUUGGGCGUAAAGGGUGCGUAGGCGGCUUCUUAAGUCUGACGUGAAAGCCCAGGGCUUAGCCUUGGAAGUGCGCCAGAAACUGGGGAGCUAGAGUGCCGGAGGGGAGAGUGGAAUUCCUGGUGUAGCGGUGAAAUGCGUAGAUAUCAGGAGGAAUACCGGUGGCGAAAGCGACUCUCUGGACGGCAACUGACGCUGAGGCACGAAAGCGUGGGUAGCAAAC
Molecule: ribosomal RNA, 250 nt
Filed under: uncultured bacterium
Lineage: Bacteria
Description: partial 16S ribosomal RNA
Rfam family: Bacterial small subunit ribosomal RNA
Source: RNAcentral